ACGGUGGAGUCUCACAGCUGCAGGGCAGAGCCCACAGCAACAGGGUGGACCCCACAUCAGCAGGGUGGAGCCUUAACAGGCAAAUAGUGACUAGACUGCCUCCUAGCUGGGCAGGAUAGUGCAAUGGACACUGAUAAAGAAAGCCCCAACUCCACAAGACAGAGCAUCUAGGAAAAAAAAGGGGUUUUAAGAGGUCUGCUGCAGCAGACAUAAACGUAGCAGCCUAACAGCCCUGAAUGAACAACGGAGCUCACAGCUCAGCACUUGAGCUCCUACAAGGUACAGACCAUCUCCUCAAGCAGCUCUGGGACCCCUGUAUCUCCAGAGUCACCUCAAAGAAGAUGGAUCAGACUGACAUUAGGUGGGCAUCAUUCUGGGACAAAGAUAGCAGAAGAAGAAACUGGUAGCAUCCCUCACUGUUCUGCAGCUGCUACAGAUGUACCCCAGACAAGCAGGGCCUAGAGUGGACCUCAGCAGUCAUAAAGCAGAGGGGCUAGACUGGUAGAAGGAAAACCAAGUAACAGAAAUACCACAUCAUCAACAAUCUGGGCAUCCACUCAGAGACCCACUUGAAAAGUCAGCAACUACUCAGAUGGCAGGUGGAUAAAUCCACAAAGAUGAAAAGAAAGCAGCACAAAAAGGAGGAAAACACCCAAAACCAGAACACCUUACCUCCUAGAAAAAACCAAAACUCCUCACCAGCAAAGGAAAACACCCAAAACCAGAACACCUCGCCUCCUAGAAAGGACCAAAACUCCUCAACAGCAAGGGAACAAAGCUGGACAGAGAAUGACUGUGACAAAAUAAUGGAAUUUGACUUGAGAAGGUGGAUAAUGAGAAACUUUUGUGAGCUGAAAGAACAUGUUUUAAAUCAAUGCAAAGAAACUAAGAACCUUGAAAAAAGAUAUGAAAAAAGAUUUGAGGGGAGGACUCAAGAUGGCUCUGUGAGAACAACCCAGGAUUGGAGCUCUCAUUGAAUCCGCAAAGAGGUGAGUCUGAGCUGCAUUUCCAGAAUGAUCUUUGUUGCCCACAGAACGGGGAAACUCCCAAGUAUAAAAAAGACACGGGACGCCAGGCAGUAAGUCUGCCUGGCGAAGCCAGCAGUCGGGGCACAGUGGCGGCCGGCCCUACCCAGCAAUUCCCACAGGGCGCGCUUGUCCGGGUGCCCUGUUGAACCGGCAACCUGAGACUUGAGAGGGCUGGACUUGAGACUGAACGAGACUUGGACAGUAGGCCAGCCCAGGGGAUUGCAGGGACAGAGCGAGCGUUCGGGAUACCCAGUGGGACGAACAAAACUGCGAUUUCAAACUAUCCCGAGCAGAUGGUCCGAGACGCUCUGUGGGGGAGGGGCAUCCACCACUAGCGAGGCAACCCGCACCAACUGAGAUACACGCCCACUGCUGAUGCAGCCAGCCAUUGCCGAGGCAACCUGUCCCUACUGAGAUGCAUGCCCACUGCGGACGCAGCCUCCAGUUGCCAAGGCAACCCGUCCCUACUGAGAUACACACCCACUGCAGAUGCAGCCUGCCAUUGCCGAGGCAACACACUACAACGAAAAGACUCCGCCACAGGGCAUGGCGGAGACCACAGCUGAGCCUGCAGGAACAGGGCGAAUCACACAACAGCAGGGCGGAGACUCGGCAGGCAAACAGUGGCUAGUCUGCCUCCUAGCUGGGCAGGACACCUCAAAGGACAUCGAAAAAUAAAGCCCGAACCCCCCAACACAGAGUAUUUGAGAAAAAAAUGGUUUUUUUAAUGAGCUCUGUUGCAGCAGAAUCAAACAUAGCAGCCUAACAGCCCUGAAUGAACAACAGAGCUCACAGCUCAGAAAUUGAGCUCCUAAAAAGAACAGACUG
This 1856-nucleotide long non-coding RNA is filed under the name Callithrix jacchus (white-tufted-ear marmoset). RNAcentral describes it as "lncRNA (ENSCJAG00000079944.1)". Lineage: Eukaryota; Metazoa; Chordata; Mammalia; Primates; Cebidae. The record is from RNAcentral.